GGGGAUGUAGCUCAGUGGUAAAGCACUUGCCUAGCAUGCAUGCAGCCCUGAGUUUGAUCCUCAGCACCCCCA
This 72-nucleotide transfer RNA is filed under the name Marmota marmota marmota (Alpine marmot). It matches the Rfam family "tRNA". Rfam says of the family: Transfer RNA (tRNA) molecules are approximately 80 nucleotides in length. Their secondary structure includes four short double-helical elements and three loops (D, anti-codon, and T loops). The record is from Rfam by way of RNAcentral. Lineage: Eukaryota; Metazoa; Chordata; Mammalia; Rodentia; Sciuridae. RNAcentral also lists the same sequence under 1 other name.